Molecule: ribosomal RNA, 459 nt
Filed under: uncultured bacterium
Lineage: Bacteria
Description: partial 16S ribosomal RNA
Rfam family: Bacterial small subunit ribosomal RNA
Source: RNAcentral
CCUACGGGAGGCAGCAGUGAGGAAUAUUGGUCAAUGGCCGAGAGGCUGAACCAGCCAAGUCGCGUGAGGGAAGACGGCCCUACGGGUUGUAAACCUCUUUUGUCGGGGAGCAAAGCGAACCACGUGUGGUUCAUUGAGAGUACCCGAAGAAAAAGCAUCGGCAAACUCUGUGCCAGCAGCCGCGGUAAUACGGAGGAUGCGAGCGUUAUCCGGAUUUAUUGGGUUUAAGGGGUGCGCAGGGGGAGGUGCAAGUCAGCGGUAAAAUUGGGGGGCUCAACACCGUACUGCCGUUGAAACUGCAUCCCUUGAGUGCGCGAGAGGUAUGCGGAAUGCGUGGUGUAGCGGUAAAAUGCAUAGAUAUCACGCAGAACACCGAUUGCGAAGGCAACAUGCCGGCACGCAACUGACGCUGAUGCACGAAAGCGUGGGUAUCGAACAGGAUUAGAUACCCGAGUAGUC